This 617-nucleotide ribosomal RNA is filed under the name Lactobacillus crispatus. RNAcentral describes it as "partial 23S ribosomal RNA". It matches the Rfam family "Bacterial large subunit ribosomal RNA", at positions 1320 to 1940 of the family's 2925-position model. Lineage: Bacteria; Bacillati; Bacillota; Bacilli; Lactobacillales; Lactobacillaceae. The record is from RNAcentral.
GGUGAGAAUCCUAUCCGCCGAAAGACUAAGGUUUCCUGGGGCAGGCUCGUCCGCCCAGGGUAAGUCGGGACCUAAGGCAAGGCCGAGAGGCGUAGUCGAUGGAUAACAGGUAGAGAUUCCUGUACUGUGUCAAAUCGUUAAGAGCGAAGGAGGGACGCAGGAGGUGAAGCACGCAUCGCGAUGGAACGAUGUUCAAGCAACAAGUGCGGUUAAGAGUCAAAUGCUUCUAACCAGCAACACGAGUUGUGAAGAGGAGUGAAUUAAAAGUAGCGAAGGUGUGGUAAUCACACUGCCAAGAAAAGCUUCUAGCCAGAGAUGACAUACCCGUACCGCAAACCGACACAGGUAGUCGAGUGGAGAACACUAAGGUGAGCGAGAGAACUCUCGUUAAGGAACUCGGCAAAAUGACCCCGUAACUUCGGAAGAAGGGGUGCUAGCCAAGAGAUUGGUUAGCCGCAGUGAAUAGGCCCAAACAACUGUUUAUCAAAAACACAGGUCUCUGCAAAAUCGUAAGAUGACGUAUAGAGGCUGACACCUGCCCGGUGCUGGAAGGUUAAGAGGAGAGCUUAGCGUAAGCGAAGGUUUGAAUUGAAGCCCCAGUAAACGGCGGCCGUAAC